AGGAUGAACGCUGGCGGUCUGCUUAACACAUGCAAGUCGAACGGGCGUAGCAAUACGUUAGUGGCGGACGGGUGAGUAACGCGUGAGAAUCUACCUUCAGGACGGAGACAACAGUUGGAAACGACUGCUAACCCCCGAUGUACUGAAAAGGCAAAUAUUUAUAGCCUGAAGAAGAGCUCGCGUCCGAUUAGCUAGUUGGAGAGGUAAAAGCUCACCAAGGCGACGAUCGGUAGCUGGUCUGAGAGGACGAUCAGCCACACUGGGACUGAGACACGGCCCAGACUCCUACGGGAGGCAGCAGUGGGAAUUUCCGCAAUGGGCGAAAGCCUGACGGAGCAAGACCGCGUGGGGGAAGAAGGCUCUUGGGUUGUAAACCCCUUUUCUCUGGAAGAAAGUUGUGAAAGCAGCCUGACGGUACCAGAGGAAUCAGCAUCGGCUAACUCCGCGCCAGCAGCCGC
Molecule: ribosomal RNA, 458 nt
Filed under: uncultured bacterium
Lineage: Bacteria
Description: SSU rRNA
Rfam family: Bacterial small subunit ribosomal RNA
Source: RNAcentral